UACGUAGGCGGCGCUGUCAGUCGGGUGUGAAAUCCCACGGCUCAACCGUGGAACUGCGCCCGAUACUGCAGUGCUUGAGGGAGACAGAGGUAAGCGGAACUGAUGGUGGAGCGGUGAAAUGCGUUGAUAUCAUCAGGAACACCGGUGGCGAAAGCGGCUUACUGGGUCUCUUCUGCGCUGAGGUACGAAAGCUAGGGGAGCGAAGGG
RNAcentral lists this ribosomal RNA (207 nucleotides) under uncultured bacterium. RNAcentral's name for it is "partial 16S ribosomal RNA". It matches the Rfam family "Bacterial small subunit ribosomal RNA", at positions 568 to 775 of the family's 1533-position model. The record is from RNAcentral.